Molecule: ribosomal RNA, 473 nt
Filed under: uncultured bacterium
Lineage: Bacteria
Description: SSU rRNA
Rfam family: Bacterial small subunit ribosomal RNA
Source: RNAcentral
AGGACGAACGCUGGCGGCGUGCUUAACACAUGCAAGUCGAGCGGAAAGGCCCUUCGGGGUACUCGAGCGGCGAACGGGUGAGUAACACGUGAGCAACCUGCCCUUAGCUCCGGGAUAGCUCCGGGAAACCGGAAUUAAUACCGGAUAUGACCUAGGCCGACAUCGGCUGUGGUGGAAAGUUUUUCGGCUGGGGAUGGACUCGCGGCCUAUCAGCUUGUUGGUGGGGUAAUGGCCUACCAAGGCGACGACGGGUAGCCGGCCUGAGAGGGCGACCGGCCACACUGGGACUGAGACACGGCCCAGACUCCUACGGGAGGCAGCAGUGGGGAAUCUUGCGCAAUGGGCGAAAGCCUGACGCAGCGACGCCGCGUGGGGGAUGAAGGCCUUCGGGUUGUAAACCCUUUCAGCAGGGACGAAGCGAAAGUGACGGUACCUGCAGAAGAAGCGCCGGCUAACUACGUGCCAGCAGCCGC